Long non-coding RNA from Sinocyclocheilus anshuiensis, 88 nucleotides. RefSeq lists it as uncharacterized. The transcript is spliced from 3 exons. The record is from RefSeq and is a predicted model, not a curated record. Lineage: Eukaryota; Metazoa; Chordata; Actinopteri; Cypriniformes; Cyprinidae.
GUCUACUAUGUCUAAAACCAGUGUGGUCAAACUAACACACACGUUUUUAUUUUAUUUAAAAAAAAAUGUGUAUGUUAGUUUGACCACA